AUGAAUGGGAGGUCCAAGGGGCUCCGGGCGGCCGUGACCCUGCUGGAGUGCGGGGGGGACCUCCAGCCCCCCGGGGGGUCCCUGCGCCUCCUCUGCCGAGGGUCCGGCUUCAGUUUUGGGAAUUAUGAAAUGGAUUGGGUUCGCCAGAGACCUGGACAGGGGCUGGAGUGGCUCGCAGGGAUCUACAGCAAUGGUGCUUACAUCUACUACGCGCCGUCGGUCAAGGGCCGUUUCACGAUCUCCAGGGACAACAGGCAGAGCUCGGUGACGCUGACCAUGAACAACCUCAAGGACGAGGAUUCCGGAUCCUAUUUCUGUGCCAAGGGUGAUCGUGGUGCUUGGGCUGAAAGUGCUGGAUUUGUUGACGUGACUCAUGGUGUCUCCAUCCCCAUCUCCGAGUCCCCCCCGUCCCCAGAGCCCAGACCCUUCCCCCAGACCCCAGCCCCAGACCCAGCUCUUGACCAUUGA
This is a non-coding RNA of Passer domesticus (house sparrow), 468 nucleotides long. The record is from the annotation of a RefSeq genome assembly. NCBI's taxonomy places the organism in Eukaryota, Metazoa, Chordata, Aves, Passeriformes, Passeridae.